UGAAGAACCUUGAAACGCCCAACGCAAACACAUAAUGGGCUGUGAAUGGCUCAAUAAUCUUGACAUUCUGCAUCAAAUGAAGCUGAGGCAGCACGGAGACGCCUUCUAUAUACACAGCAAAAGCCCAGAGUAUACUGAGAAUAAGAUUAUUCGUCCGAGGAUGGAUAAAGAAAGCUAUCACCAAAGAAGGUACUAUCAUGGUAUAUUUCUUCAUGUUAUCCAAAUCUUCCAUGUAGGAUGACUUCAACUUGUAUUUCAUCAUAAAUAUAAGCCAGAACGUUGCCACGAGAGUGA
RNAcentral lists this unclassified non-coding RNA (294 nucleotides) under Hevea brasiliensis (rubber tree). The record is from RNAcentral. Lineage: Eukaryota; Viridiplantae; Streptophyta; Magnoliopsida; Malpighiales; Euphorbiaceae.